This 30-nucleotide non-coding RNA is filed under the name Mus musculus (house mouse). The record is from RNAcentral. Lineage: Eukaryota; Metazoa; Chordata; Mammalia; Rodentia; Muridae.
UGUUGACGUUCAGCCUUCGCCCUUUUGGUU